UGGGGAAUUUUGGACAAUGGGGGAAACCCUGAUCCAGCCAUCCCGCGUGUGCGAUGAAGGCCUUCGGGUUGUAAAGCACUUUUGGCAGGAAAGAAACGUCAUGGGUUAAUACCCCGUGAAACUGACGGUACCUGCAGAAUAAGCACCGGCUAACUACGUGCCAGCAGCCGCGGUAAUACGUAGGGUGCAAGCGUUAAUCGGAAUUACUGGGCGUAACGCGUGCGCAGGCGGUUCGGAAAGAAAGAUGUGAAAUCCCAGAGCUCAACUUGGGAACUGCAUUUUUAACUACCGGGCUAGGGUGUGUCAGAGGGAGGUGGAAUUCCGCGUGUAGCAGUGAAAUGCGUAGAUAUGCGGAGGAACACCGAUGGCGAAGGCACCCUCCUGGGAUAACACUGACGCUCAUGCACGAAAGCGUGGGGAGCAAACAGG
RNAcentral lists this ribosomal RNA (429 nucleotides) under Acidobacteriota bacterium. RNAcentral's name for it is "Acidobacteria bacterium partial 16S ribosomal RNA". It matches the Rfam family "Bacterial small subunit ribosomal RNA", at positions 355 to 776 of the family's 1533-position model. The record is from RNAcentral. Lineage: Bacteria; Pseudomonadati; Acidobacteriota.